AAUUCGAAGAAUACAAAUAACUCAUAAUUUUUGUUUGUUCAGAACUUCGCGUAACAAUUCAUGAAUAUAUUUUCUAAAAAAAGGAUUUCACUUGAAUAGACCACCAAAAAAUAAAAUAACUCAUUCAUUUUUUUUUCAUCAGAACUCCUCGUUACAACAUCCUUACAAGAUUAAUCUUUACAAAGCAAAUAUUUAGAUGUCAUACAUGGAUGAGAUAUAAACUCCGCGUUACAACAUCCUUACAAGAUUAAUCUUUACAAAACAAAUAUUUUGAUAUCAUAUAUGGAUGAGAUAUAUAAAAUUGCCAAGUUAGUCACAAUAAUCGAAUCGGAUGAAAAUAAAAUAAAAAGAAGAAUCAUCAACCACCAUAUCUAUCUGAUUAAGCAUAAUAUCAAGCCUCAAAAAGUUUAUUAUUCUUAAAGUAGAACACUAAGCUCAAUGAAAUGGGCAAGGGAUAACUUAUCAAAACCUCUAGGAAUAAGAAUCAAAUAAAUAGAAGAAUUAUAUACAAUAUGUUUAAUAAAUGUAACAAACAAACUGCUGAGAACUUGACAAACAACUGAAUAAGGCAUUUGGAAGCUCCACCCUGCAAUUUCAAAGCCUCCCUCACUUUCUUCAUCUUCUUCUUUGUUCAAAUUAACCUUAGGAUUAGUCAGUUCCAUUUCUCGAUGGAGGCAAGGCAAGUUAAGGCAAGAAAAAGUAUACAACUCAGCCGUAGAGUUUCACCUUGAUGUGUGGAAGUCAUCAGUUCAAGACUGAUUAUCCCUGAGCUCUAUCUACACAACUAAAACCGCAAACUCUCAAAGAAGAAAAAGGGUGAGUCAAGACCAGUUUUAGGCCUUGUUCGUUGUCUUUGCUUGAUCGGGUUGUUUGAUCAUGGUGCUGGUUGUUUUGGGGUUGAGAAAUAGGGGGUUGGUGUUUGUUCUGGAGAUGGAGAAGUCAUGGGAGCCUUUUGGAAAGUGCCCUACCAAAUAGUCUCCUUUCCAACUAAAAUUUUGACAGAACAUCGUGGCCUUGCCGACACAAGGAGGUAGAUCACGACCUUUCCUACACACAGGAACACAAAAACACACAACCUAAUGAUAUGGGAUAUUUGCAAUUUUCACUUUUGGGGAUUGGGUCCAUGUAGAGAGAGAAUAUUUUUUUCUUUUUUUCUUUUUUUCUUUUUUGGAGAAUGAUAGGGAUUUUACUACUCAUGUGAACGGAC
Molecule: long non-coding RNA, 1207 nt
Filed under: Malus domestica (apple)
Lineage: Eukaryota; Viridiplantae; Streptophyta; Magnoliopsida; Rosales; Rosaceae
Description: long non-coding RNA (MDOM_LNC011366)
Source: RNAcentral